Molecule: non-coding RNA, 96 nt
Organism: Glycine soja
Lineage: Eukaryota; Viridiplantae; Streptophyta; Magnoliopsida; Fabales; Fabaceae
Source: Rfam
UGGCAAUGAUGAUUAAAAGGCCGGACUUAUGGCUGCCAUUUACUUCCUUGGUAGUAGAUUGAUGAGCUUUUUCGUGAAAUGUGUGUUCUGAGCCAG